AAGGGAUUGCAACCAGACUUGCUCGCGGUGUUCCGCCGGUCUUCUGACCGGUCUACUCGCCGCGUUGCAGGCCAGCAUCGUCUGGUGCCGCUGGAUAAGACUUGAGGAAUGUAGCUCCCUCGGGAGUGUUAUAGCCUCUUGUGAUGCAGCGAGCGCCGGGCGAGGUCCGCGCUUCGGCUAGGAUGCUGGCGUAAUGGUUGUAAUCCG
Molecule: ribosomal RNA, 207 nt
Filed under: Cladosporium halotolerans
Lineage: Eukaryota; Fungi; Ascomycota; Dothideomycetes; Cladosporiales; Cladosporiaceae
Description: partial large subunit ribosomal RNA
Source: RNAcentral